CAGUCGCCGCGGUAAUACGUAGGGUGCAAGCGUUAAUCGGAAUUACUGGGCGUAAAGCGUGCGCAGGCGGUUAUAUAAGACAGAUGUGAAAUCCCCGGGCUCAACCUGGGAACUGCAUUUGUGACUGUAUAGCUAGAGUAAGGCAGAGGGGGAUGGAAUUCCGCGUGUAGCAGUGAAAUGCGUAGAUAUGCGGAGGAACACCGAUGGCGAAGGCAAUCCCCUGGGCCUGUACUGACGCUCAUGCACGAAAGCGUGGGGAGCAAACAGGAUUAGAUACCCCCGUAGUCCCUGUCUCUUAUAC
This 301-nucleotide ribosomal RNA is filed under the name uncultured bacterium. RNAcentral's name for it is "partial 16S ribosomal RNA". It matches the Rfam family "Bacterial small subunit ribosomal RNA", at positions 509 to 807 of the family's 1533-position model. The record is from RNAcentral.